AUUGAACGCUGGCGGCAGGCUUAACACAUGCAAGUCGAGCGGGGUGAUGGUGCUUGCACUAUCACUUAGCGGCGGACGGGUGAGUAAUGCUUAGGAAUCUGCCUAUUAGUGGGGGACAACAUCUCGAAAGGGAUGCUAAUACCGCAUACGUCCUACGGGAGAAAGCAGGGGAUCACUUGUGACCUUGCGCUAAUAGAUGAGCCUAAGUCGGAUUAGCUAGUUGGUGGGGUAAAGGCCUACCAAGGCGACGAUCUGUAGCGGGUCUGAGAGGAUGAGCCGCCACACUGGGACUGAGACACGGCCCAGAGUCCUACGGGAGGCAGCAGUGGGGAAUAUUGGACAAUGGGCGCAAGCCUGAUCUAGCCAUGCCGCGUGUGUGAAGAAGGCCUUAUGGUUGUAAAGCACUUUAAGCGAGGAGAAGGCUACUUUAGUUAAUACCUAGAGAUAGUGGACGUUACUCGCAGAAUAAGCACCGGCUAACUCUGUGCCAGCCGCCGCCGUAA
RNAcentral lists this ribosomal RNA (503 nucleotides) under uncultured bacterium. Its description in RNAcentral is "partial 16S ribosomal RNA". It matches the Rfam family "Bacterial small subunit ribosomal RNA", at positions 30 to 523 of the family's 1533-position model. The record is from RNAcentral.